CCUACGGGAGGCUGCAGUGGGGAAUAUUGGACAAUGGGGGGAACCCUGAUCCAGCCAUGCCGCGUGUGUGAAGAAGGCCCUCGGGUUGUAAAGCACUUUCAGUGAGGAAGAACGCCUGGUGGUUAAUACCCAUCAGGAAAGACAUCACUCACAGAAGAAGCACCGGCUAACUCCGUGCCAGCAGCCGCGGUAAUACGGAGGGUGCGAGCGUUAAUCGGAAUUACUGGGCGUAAAGCGCGCGUAGGUGGCUUGAUAAGCCGGUUGUGAAAGCCCCGGGCUCAACCUGGGAACGGCAUCCGGAACUGUCAAGCUAGAGUGAAGGAGGGGAAGGUAGAAUUCCCGGUGUAGCGGUGAAAUGCGUAGAGAUCGGGAGGAAUACCAGUGGCGAAGGCGGCCUUCUGGACUGACUCUGACACUGAGGUGCGAAAGCGUGGGUAGCACACAGGAUUAGAUACCCUAGUAGUC
RNAcentral lists this ribosomal RNA (465 nucleotides) under Vreelandella stevensii. RNAcentral's name for it is "partial 16S ribosomal RNA". It matches the Rfam family "Bacterial small subunit ribosomal RNA", at positions 338 to 795 of the family's 1533-position model. Lineage: Bacteria; Pseudomonadati; Pseudomonadota; Gammaproteobacteria; Oceanospirillales; Halomonadaceae. The record is from RNAcentral.